This 1321-nucleotide long non-coding RNA is filed under the name Vulpes vulpes (red fox). Its description in RNAcentral is "lncRNA (ENSVVUG00000022114.1)". The record is from RNAcentral. Lineage: Eukaryota; Metazoa; Chordata; Mammalia; Carnivora; Canidae.
UUUAGUUAUCAAUAAGCAGUUCCUUUUCUCUCAGCUUUAUCCUCUCAGCUUUGCUUUUCUUUGUGUACACUUUCAUCCUUAAACUGGCUUCUUUCUUUUGCAAGAUGUCUGUAUUUGAAAUUAUAUGUUUUCUCUUUAAAUUGGAAAGGGAAAGAGCAUAGCUACCCACACCAUCAAAGAAAAGUCCUGAAGUUUGUUAUGUUUGGACCAAUUUGAGACCAGUCACUGUGCCCAGAAAAAAAAAUCACUUGCCAAGACCUGCCAGCCACUACCACUGAAGCACAAAGGCUGAUUUAGAGGAAACGGAGACAUGGAACUGUACAAUGAGGAGAGGGCUGUCUUCAGUGGGCGAUGGGAGCAGUUUAAAGUCCUGUCAGGAGAAAAAUCAUCCUGAAUCCACUGAUUCCUGCUAUUCCAUGCCAUGAAAAUAGAUUGAAACUGGUCCUAUGAAUAGUGAAUCCAGGCUUAAGAAGAAAACAGAACUUAUAGACCAUCUUCUGGCAGAAGAUGAUAGAUUUGGAUCAGAGACGGGAGGCGUUGGAAGCCAGGAAUCAAAAGUGAAGAAAUUCUGCAAGCCUUUGGGUUCCUAUCACUGUAAUCAUGCCAGAAAUGACAGAGAAUGAGACUCCUACAAAAAAACAGCACAGAAAGAAAAACCGGGAGACACACAAUGCAGGUAGAAACAACAAUUUAAAUUUUAUUUGAUAGCACUUUUUGCACUCAAAAUGAAGGCAUACUGUAGUUGCUUGUAAGUUUCUAUGUUACAAGCGUAGAAUCAUGAUUCAUUAUAUUUUAGGAAAAUGUUCCUUACUAUUUUUGUUCCUUUAUUGUUUAAUUGACAUAACGCCCCUCAAGUCUCAUGAAGAUGGCCUCCUUCUUUACUAUCUUCUGAUUCAUUGUCUAUUUAGAUAAAUUAAAGAUUAAUAUGCCCCUGGAACUAGUGUUGUAAGUGAUUUCACUCACUGAAGAACUCCAGUUCUACCUCUUCAAAUGGAACAAAGAGUAUGUGUCUUUGCAGAAAUUCCAGAGGUGGCUGGUUGCCUAGAGGAAUAGGGGAGAGAUGAGCAGCAGGCUGUAGAUAUUUUUUUAAAAUUUUUUAUUUAUUUAUGAUAGUCAGAGAGAGGGGGAGAGAGAGAGAGAGAGGCAGAGGGAGAAGCAGGCUCCAUGCACUGGGAGCCCAACAUGGGAUUCGAUCCCAGGUCUCCAGGAUCGCGCCCUGGGCCAAAGGCAGGCACUAAACUGCUGCGCCACCCAGGGAUCCCCCAGGCUGUAGAUAUUAAAGGUCCUUGAACUGUCAAGUCUUUUUUUUUUUUUUUUAAAA